Molecule: transfer RNA, 82 nt
Organism: Archaeoglobus fulgidus DSM 4304
Lineage: Archaea; Methanobacteriati; Methanobacteriota; Archaeoglobi; Archaeoglobales; Archaeoglobaceae
Rfam family: tRNA
About the family: Transfer RNA (tRNA) molecules are approximately 80 nucleotides in length.
Source: Rfam
GCCGGGGUUGCAGAGAGGUACUGCGCCAGCCUUGAGAGCUGGUGCCCGUAAGGGCUCCUGGGUUCAAAUCCCAGCCCCGGCG